UACGGAGGGUGCGAGCGUUGUCCGGAAUUACUGGGCGUAAAGCGCACGUAGGCGGCUUUGUAAGUUAGAGGUGAAAGCCCGGGGCUCAACUCCGGAAUUGCCUUUAAGGCUGCAUCGCUAGAAUUGUGGAGAGGUAAGUGGAAUUCCGAGUGUAGAGGUGAAAUUCGUAGAUAUUCGGAAGAACACCAGUGGCGAAGGCGACUUACUGGACACAUAUUGACGCUGAGGUGCGAAAGCGUGGGGAGCAAACAGG
RNAcentral lists this ribosomal RNA (253 nucleotides) under uncultured bacterium. RNAcentral describes it as "partial 16S ribosomal RNA". It matches the Rfam family "Bacterial small subunit ribosomal RNA", at positions 524 to 776 of the family's 1533-position model. The record is from RNAcentral.